AACGAACGCUGGCGGCAUGCCUAACACAUGCAAGUCGAACGAGACCUUCGGGUUUAGUGGCUCACGUGUUCGUAACGCGUUGGAUCCUGCCCUUAUGUUCUGAAUAUCUCCCUGAAAUGGGUGCUAAUACCUGAUAAUAUUUUCGGACCAAAGAUUGUUCGCCUUUGGAUGGGGUCGCGUUGGAUUAGCUUGUUGGUAGGGUAAAAGCCUGCCAAGGCGACGAUCCAUAGCUGGUCUGAGAGGAGGAUCAGCCACACUGGAGAUAAGACACGGACCAGACUCGUACGGAAGGGAGGAGAGGAGAGUAUUGGAGGAGGGGGGAAGGUCUGAUGAAGCAAUGCCGGGGAAGAGAGGAAGGGGUUAGGGUUGUAAAGCUAGUUUAGAAGGGAUGAUAAUGACAGUACCGGGAGAAUAAGCUCCGGCUAACUACGUG
Molecule: ribosomal RNA, 433 nt
Filed under: uncultured bacterium
Lineage: Bacteria
Description: partial 16S ribosomal RNA
Rfam family: Bacterial small subunit ribosomal RNA
Source: RNAcentral